UACAGAGGUCUCAAUCGUUGUUCGGAUUCAUUGGGCGUAAAGGGCUCGUAGGCGGCCAACUAAGUCAGACGUGAAAUCCCCAGGCUUAACCUGGGAACUGCGUCUGAUACUGGAUGGCUUGAAUUCGGGAGAGGGAUGCAGAAUUCCAGGUGUAGCGGUGAAAUGCGUAGAUAUCUGGAGGAAUACCGGUGGCGAAGGCGGCAUCCUGGACCGAGAUUGACGCUGAUGAGCGAAAGCUAGGGGAGCAAACGGG
Molecule: ribosomal RNA, 253 nt
Filed under: uncultured bacterium
Lineage: Bacteria
Description: partial 16S ribosomal RNA
Rfam family: Bacterial small subunit ribosomal RNA
Source: RNAcentral